This is a long non-coding RNA of Oncorhynchus gorbuscha (pink salmon), 1612 nucleotides long. RefSeq lists it as uncharacterized. NCBI's taxonomy places the organism in Eukaryota, Metazoa, Chordata, Actinopteri, Salmoniformes, Salmonidae. The record is from RefSeq and is a predicted model, not a curated record. The transcript has 3 exons.
CGGAACUCUGAACCCGCAGAGUGAAGUUACUUCCGCAAUCACAUGAUGCGGAAGUUUAAAGCGGCUGACGAGACGCUGAUCAUAACGUUUGUUAAAGCAUUUCUAAUAUCGCACAUUAUCAGAGGGGAAGAGUCAUCCAUCGCUCACGUCAGUGGUCCGUCACUCCCUAUAUCCUCACAAAGCCCUCAGCUUUCUCUUCUUGUUCAAACGGUCCUCUCCAGUCUCCAGUCAGUGGGAGGAACCAUCCCUUUACAGUGUGUCGACAUUAGGAUGGGAAGAGGAAAAGCUGACAAAUGGAUACAGUUUAGCUGAGAAACCUUUCAAAGGGAUGUUGGUCCAUGCUGAUAUGAUGACAUCAUGCCGUUUCUGCAGUUCGGAUGGCGGGACACUACCGCCACCAGCCUGUACCGUUGACAUGGGUUGGAUGGGUCGGACAGGUUGGAUGGGUCGCUGGACUCAUGCUGCUUAUGCCAAAUCUUGACUCUGCCAUCAGCAUGACGCAACAGGAACUGGGAUUCCUUGGACCAGGCAAUGUUUUCCCACUCCUCAAUUGUGCAGUAAUAGUGAACGCGUGCCUUUCUUUUCUUUUUAACUGACAGGAGUUGAACCCGGUGUGGUCGUCUGCUAUAAUAGCCCAUCCGUGACAAGAAUCAACAAGUUGUCCCGAGAUCUCAUUCUACACACUACUGUUGUGUUGCAUUAUCUGUCUGGUUAUGGCCCACCUGUUAGCUUGCAUGAUUCUGGCCAUUCUCCUUCGACCUCUCUCAUCAACGAGCUGUUUUCGCCCACAGGACUGCCGCUGACUGGAUGUUGUUUUUGUUUGUCGCACCCUUCUGGGGAAACACACUGUCGUGAGUGAACAGCCCAGGAGUUCGGCCAUUUCUGAGAUACUGUAAUCGCCGAUCAUACCACGCUCAAAGUCGCUUAGGUCAUUGGUUUUGCCCAACGUUCAAUCGAACAGUAACUGAAUGCCUCAAUGUCUGUCUGCAUGCUUCAUAUAGCAAGCUAUAGCCACGUGACUCACUGUGUCGUAGGAGCGAUCCAUUUUGUGAACAGGGUGGUGUACCUAAAGUAACCAGUGAGUGUAUAUAUUCAUGAUAGUAAUGUCAGGUCACAGCUCGCUGCUCUUAAAGCUGGAAUCUGCAGUUGAAACAAUAACAAAGUAGACACCCCACCUCUGUUUAGGUAAAAGCUUAGGGAUGGGCCAAGAGAAAAUGUCUCUAUGGCCAUCCCUAAGCUUUUUACCAAAAUGUUUUGUUAUUGUGGGGUAUAAUCACUCUCAAACUCAUAGACAGAGCUAUGGCUGCAAAGACUGACCAUACAUGAUAUCAAAAUGAUAGCUUUAACCAUGUUUUGAGGCUUGUUUACGUUUAUAUUGUUUACAAACUUUGGAGUAAAACAAGCUUAUAUUUGGGGUUCUAAUGGGCUAUAACAGUUGAACUAAGCUCAUGAGAUCCUUCAGAAAGUAUUCACACCCUUAUUAGUUUUUCCAAAUUUUGCCUGAAUUUAAAAUGGAUUAAAUUUAGAUUUUGUGUCACUGAUCUACACAAAAUAAUGUCAACAUGUUGUUCAAAAUGUUUUUUGGAAAUGAAUAAAAAAUGAACAGCUGAAA